RNAcentral lists this long non-coding RNA (681 nucleotides) under Zostera marina. RNAcentral's name for it is "long non-coding RNA (ZMAR_LNC001668)". The record is from RNAcentral. Lineage: Eukaryota; Viridiplantae; Streptophyta; Magnoliopsida; Alismatales; Zosteraceae.
CCACACCAUAAGCAAACUCAAGAGCUUCCACUCCACACUUGUCCACACGUUUUUGCCAUCAAGCUUCCAAGCUUCCAAGUGCUCAAGUGUCCUAGCUUUCCAAAGCUUCAAAAGCUCUCCAACUUCUUCUUCUAAUCUUCUUGGUCAUUUGUACAAGUAAGAAGUGUUGUUUGCUUUGAUAUUCCACUCCUCUAAUCACCUCUUGUGUGUGUCCACUUUGGUUGAGAGGGUUGUCUCAAUAGUACCAAAGUGUGAGGAAAGGUUUGUGAGCUCAACCAUAAAAGCUCUGUUUGGUUUUAUAGAGUUUCCAGGAAAACUCUUAGGUGUGAGUCUACCUGUAAAAGACUGGUUCCUAAGCGAAGUAGCCUUAAAGCUUAGAAAGGUUCUUAAGAGUGCCCUUUAAUACUCUAAGGUGUGAGUCUACCCGUAAAAGACUGGUUCCUAAGCGUAGUAGCCUUAAAGCUUAGAGAGGUUUAUUAAGAGUUCCUUGAAUACUCUAAGGUACUAACUUACCCGUAAAAGUUAGAGGUUCUUAAGAGUGCCCUGUAAUACUCUAAGGUGUGAGUCUACCCGUAAAAGACUGGUUCCUAAGCGUAGUAGCCUUAAAGCUUAGAAAAGGUUUUGCCAUUACCUUUAGGCGAGUGAAAUCCGGCAGUGGGUCGGGACUGGACUAGCCCGUGU